This 1456-nucleotide ribosomal RNA is filed under the name Bacillus sp. (in: firmicutes). RNAcentral describes it as "bacterial SSU rRNA". It matches the Rfam family "Bacterial small subunit ribosomal RNA". Lineage: Bacteria; Bacillati; Bacillota; Bacilli; Caryophanales; Bacillaceae. The record is from RNAcentral.
GAGCAUUGCGGGUGCUAUACAUGCAGUCGAGCGGACAGAUGGGAGCUUGCUCCCUGAUGUUAGCGGCGGACGGGUGAGUAACACGUGGGUAACCUGCCUGUAAGACUGGGAUAACUCCGGGAAACCGGGGCUAAUACCGGAUGCUUGUUUGAACCGCAUGGUUCAAACAUAAAAGGUGGCUUCGGCUACCACUUACAGAUGGACCCGCGGCGCAUUAGCUAGUUGGUGAGGUAAUGGCUCACCAAGGCAACGAUGCGUAGCCGACCUGAGAGGGUGAUCGGCCACACUGGGACUGAGACACGGCCCAGACUCCUACGGGAGGCAGCAGUAGGGAAUCUUCCGCAAUGGACGAAAGUCUGACGGAGCAACGCCGCGUGAGUGAUGAAGGUUUUCGGAUCGUAAAGCUCUGUUGUUAGGGAAGAACAAGUGCCGUUCAAAUAGGGCGGCACCUUGACGGUACCUAACCAGAAAGCCACGGCUAACUACGUGCCAGCAGCCGCGGUAAUACGUAGGUGGCAAGCGUUGUCCGGAAUUAUUGGGCGUAAAGGGCUCGCAGGCGGUUUCUUAAGUCUGAUGUGAAAGCCCCCGGCUCAACCGGGGAGGGUCAUUGGAAACUGGGGAACUUGAGUGCAGAAGAGGAGAGUGGAAUUCCACGUGUAGCGGUGAAAUGCGUAGAGAUGUGGAGGAACACCAGUGGCGAAGGCGACUCUCUGGUCUGUAACUGACGCUGAGGAGCGAAAGCGUGGGGAGCGAACAGGAUUAGAUACCCUGGUAGUCCACGCCGUAAACGAUGAGUGCUAAGUGUUAGGGGGUUUCCGCCCCUUAGUGCUGCAGCUAACGCAUUAAGCACUCCGCCUGGGGAGUACGGUCGCAAGACUGAAACUCAAAGGAAUUGACGGGGGCCCGCACAAGCGGUGGAGCAUGUGGUUUAAUUCGAAGCAACGCGAAGAACCUUACCAGGUCUUGACAUCCUCUGACACCCCUAGAGAUAGGGCUUCCCCUUCGGGGGCAGAGUGACAGGUGGUGCAUGGUUGUCGUCAGCUCGUGUCGUGAGAUGUUGGGUUAAGUCCCGCAACGAGCGCAACCCUUGAUCUUAGUUGCCAGCAUUCAGUUGGGCACUCUAAGGUGACUGCCGGUGACAAACCGGAGGAAGGUGGGGAUGACGUCAAAUCAUCAUGCCCCUUAUGACCUGGGCUACACACGUGCUACAAUGGACAGAACAAAGGGCAGCGAGACCGCGAGGUUAAGCCAAUCCCACAAAUCUGUUCUCAGUUCGGAUCGCAGUCUGCAACUCGACUGCGUGAAGCUGGAAUCGCUAGUAAUCGCGGAUCAGCAUGCCGCGGUGAAUACGUCCCGGGCCUUGUACACACCGCCCGUCACACCACGAGAGUUUGUAACACCCGAAGUCGGUGAGGUAACCUUUAUGGAGCCAGCCGCCGAAGGUGGAACAAGAGGG